UAAUAAGUGUUUUAUGGCACUUUUUAAAUCCAUAUCCACCUUGUGUGCAAUGUGGUCGAUCUUCUUUUUUUGAGGAUCGACCAAACAUCAACCUUUAUUUUUUAACUCUUUGUCUGAAAAUAUUAUGAAUAAACAAUUCAAAAUA
This 145-nucleotide unclassified non-coding RNA is filed under the name soil metagenome. RNAcentral's name for it is "partial internal transcribed spacer 1". The record is from RNAcentral.